Non-coding RNA from Pelobates cultripes (western spadefoot toad), 242 nucleotides. The record is from the annotation of a GenBank genome assembly. NCBI's taxonomy places the organism in Eukaryota, Metazoa, Chordata, Amphibia, Anura, Pelobatidae.
CGCAGGAACUUUGUUGACUCUAGAGUACCUUGGGCAAAUCGCACAUCCACGUGGCGGUGACUUUGCAUGCGGAUGUCAUUCAUAUCAACUUUCUAUGUCAGUUUCUGCGCCUACCAUGGUGACCAUGGGUAACGGGGAAUCAGGGUUCCCUUCCGUACAGGGAUCCUCAGAAAUGGCUACCACAUGCAAGGAAGGCAGCAGAUGCGCAAAUGACCCAUUCCCGACGCAGGUAGGUAUUGACG